UAAGGCGACACUUAUCCAUAAAAUUGAGAUGGUCUCUGUUAAUGCAAUAAGGAGCAAUCCUUCAACAACAUCUAUGCAUGGAAGAGGUCCAAAAGACAGAGAAAAAGGAAAGAUUUCACAGAGGGAAUUACUACUAUAAUAUUAUCUGCAAGACACAAAGAAUAAACCAGAGGCCAAACUUAAGAACUUUCUCAGGGGAAGCCAAAUUUAACAACAACCAACAAAACCAACCUCCACAAAUACAAGUUUCAAAGACCACGCAUGUUGAAGAAAAAUCGACCAGCAACCACAAGGCGGUAUGGAAUUUCAUUGAUCUCUGCUCUCAAGGAAUAAACAAAGCAGUACUUCAAAUCAAACAACAGAUAAUGUUCUCACAUAGUUGAUAGGUCAGCUAAAGGAUUUAGUGCUAUCCUUGGGGUAGCAGUAUGCUCAAGAAAAUACCGUAUGACACUUAAAUAAUAUCAAAUGGAAAUUAAAACCCCGUCUUGUGCUCAUGCUACCAAAUCUCAGAAAAUUCCAAACAGCGCCAGGCAAAAAGCACACCUUUUACCAAAUUAGUAUUACAGUGCAGAUUCACAAACAUGAGGUAGAUGAUAAUCUUAUUUAAGAUCCAAGUAAAUGGAAUUGCUUUCGGCAAUGAGAGAGAUCCAGCUAAUUCCAGGAGCUUCCACCUGAAAGCCAGCAAAUAUAUUUAUUAAUUUAAUAAAAAGAAGUCGAUGAAUAGGAUCAGCAUUUUUUUAAAAAAAACAGUAUCUUGGUCAUUUUAUCAAGUUGUCAAAAAAAAAAAGCAAAUAGUCGAUCUUCUUAAAUCCUUCCUGAAUGCUACUACGUUGGAGGUUGAAAUCAAAUGUAUGGAUUUUAAACCCGGGUAAGAAAAUAAGUAACAUUGCAAUAUUGCAUAUAAAAAGAGAGAAAGAAAAUCGAAGAUUUAACUCCGGAAAAUGGAUGGAUGAAAUCACCUCUCCUAUCCAAGAAACGGUUCUCAACUCUAUUUUCUGGG
This 1000-nucleotide long non-coding RNA is filed under the name Phoenix dactylifera (date palm). RNAcentral describes it as "long non-coding RNA (PDAC_LNC016499)". Lineage: Eukaryota; Viridiplantae; Streptophyta; Magnoliopsida; Arecales; Arecaceae. The record is from RNAcentral.